RNAcentral lists this ribosomal RNA (520 nucleotides) under uncultured Glomus. Its description in RNAcentral is "SSU rRNA". It matches the Rfam family "Eukaryotic small subunit ribosomal RNA", at positions 569 to 1090 of the family's 1831-position model. Lineage: Eukaryota; Fungi; Glomeromycota; Glomeromycetes; Glomerales; Glomeraceae. The record is from RNAcentral.
AGCAGCCGCGGUAAUUCCAGCUCCAAUAGCGUAUAUUAAAGUUGUUGCAGUUAAAAAGCUCGUAGUUGAAUUUCGGGAUCAAUACGUCGGUCGUGCUUCGGUACGUACUGGCGUAAUUGAUUUCUCCCUUCUGACGAACCAUGAUGUCAUUAACUUGGUGUCAUGGGAAAUCAGGACUGUUACUUUGAAAAAAAUUAGAGUGUUUAAAGCAGGCUCACGCUUGAAUACAUUAGCAUGGAAUAAUGAAAUAGGACGUUCGAUCCUAUUUUGUUGGUUUUUAGGAUCAACGUAAUGAUUAAUAGGGAUAGUUGGGGGCAUUAGUAUUCAAUUGUCAGAGGUGAAAUUCUUGGAUUUAUUGAAGACUAACUACUGCGAAAGCAUUUGCCAAGGAUGUUUUCAUUAAUCAAGAACGAAAGUUAGGGGAUCGAAGACGAUCAGAUACCGUCGUAGUCUUAACCAUAAACUAUGCCGACUAGGGAUCGGAUGAUGUUAAUCUUUUAAUGACUCAUUCGGCGCCUUA